GGAAGCAGGGCCUACUGGGCUGCUUGUCGCUCCCGCUCCUCUCUGGUCUAGGGGGCGGGGCGUCGCUGGAGACAUUCUAGUUUCUCCUCUUGUUGGCGGUUCUUUUCCCAGCGUCCCGCGCGCGGCGGCAGCGGCAGUUCCAUUCCGUGACCUUCGCCAACGGCCCGUGUGUCACUGUCUCCAAGGUAAAAAAGCAGUGGCAAACAAAUCUUCUGUUUCUGGCCAUCAUUAAAUGGCUCUUCAUUGAGUAUGCAUUCCAUGACUUGUCAUCUCUGCUGUAAAUGAAGCAAGCUACCAUCAUAGGGAAGUUAAUUGGACCGCAUAAGCAUUGUACAAUUCUACAACUGUAUAUAAUCCACUGUACUACAUAGGAGGAAUAAAUGUGUUGAGCAAGAAGUAUUCUGGAGUGUAUUUUAAUACUCUAACUUAAAUUUAAGAACAUUGUCAACAUCUUUUUGCUCUGUACAGUUUCAUAAGAACUUUCAUGUUACCACAAACUGCAUCAAAGAAGCACAUUGAAGUAAAUAAUAUGUUGCUAAACUAAAUAUAUCAUAGUAGAACAGGUCGGAACUUAAGAACAAACAUCUUGGUUGAAUUUUUGACUUUUAAAAAAAAAUGUUGUCAUAAUAUCUUAAUGUAUUCAACAUUUUCCAUGUGUGAAUUUUUAUUGCUACUAUGCAACCUCUGAUUGAUCAGCUUAGUUGUAUGGUAGGAUAUUUUUCAAAGUUAGGAUGCAACUUUAAAAAAAAAAAGUUAUUUUUGAUAAUCUGCAGAAAAAUUAGACAGCAAAAACAGUACUGUUACAAAAAUAAUGUCGCAGAAAAUGCCUCUGAAAUGUCUGUAUAAUUUACACUUUUUUUUGCCUCUAUUCAAAAGAUAACUCAGAAGUUAACUCGUAGCAUCACAGGUCUGUUCAGAAUAGAGAACAUUUAAUAGAACUGGUGGAUUAUCGCAGUUUAGACAUUUAUCCCCUUUGUUAUAGGAGCAAUUGCAAGAUGCUACACUGAACAGGCUUAUAAAAUUAAUAUAGUUUCCGUUAGAGAAUAGUACUUAAUGUUAUAUCAAAUAAGAAAAUCAUCUUUUUCAAGGUAUGCCCUGCAUUAUUCUCAGUUGUGGGCUUUAUAGGAGUUGGAAAUUUCUAGAAAAGUGGUGCCCAGUAGGUGCCACAGGGGUUUCAUCUCGCAGCACUGAGCAUUUGGAACACAUUAGAUAAGGGAGGUAUAGCCCCUGACUGCCUGUUCUUUUUGCUGAACCUCAGAGUCUGAAAGGGUGACUUUCAAAGGAACAGAGAACAACUAGGUGCCUGUCUCCCAUUGGUAAUUAAUGCAAACUGAGCACCCAACUGCCACUUAUGCCUCUGAAAUUCAGCUCUGGUUUACAUCAGAAUUCUGAGGAAAAUGAGAAGGUGAGCUAUUAGUGUCAAAUUUAUGCAUUGCUCAGCUUUGUAUUCAUUGUAUCUGUAAACAAGGUGAUAUUUUAUUUGUAUGCAAACUUGAAUAUCUACAGGCAUUGUAGAUGCAAUAUGCAUUUAACUGACUUCUAACAUUUUCCCCUCUUCCAGCAAACUUAUGUUUGUUAAAGGUAGCCAUGUGUUAUACAUAUUACGUGGGAUGGAACACUAGUAGCAUUUGAGGGCAAUCCACUAUAUUGGUGAUUGACUUACUCAAAGUAAAAAGUAAUAUAUUUCAUUUGAAUAAAAGCUUGGCUGUAUUAGAGGAGACUGUCAGGACCUAAAUUAUCCAGUGACUUUCUGAAAAGAUAUAUACUCACACAAUACACAUUGAAUAUUAAAUCUGUGACAUUACUGGUACUGCAGCUUACAAGCAACAUUUCAAUCUCUUUCAUGUAGUGUUCUGUUUAAGCACUGGAAGUAGGCAUUAAUGAUCUAAUAAAAGGCUUAAGUCCUGUCCU
This is a long non-coding RNA of Gopherus evgoodei (Goodes thornscrub tortoise), 1911 nucleotides long. RefSeq lists it as uncharacterized. The record is from RefSeq and is a predicted model, not a curated record. The transcript is spliced from 3 exons. Lineage: Eukaryota; Metazoa; Chordata; Testudines; Testudinidae.